GAGUGGCGAACGGGUGAGUAACACGUGGGUAACCUGCCCAUCAGAAGGGGAUAACACUUGGAAACAGGUGCUAAUACCGUAUAACAAUCGAAACCGCAUGGUUUUGAUUUGAAAGGCGCUUUCGGGUGUCGCUGAUGGAUGGACCCGCGGUGCAUUAGCUAGUUGGUGAGGUAACGGCUCACCAAGGCCACGAUGCAUAGCCGACCUGAGAGGGUGAUCGGCCACAUUGGGACUGAGACACGGCCCAAACUCCUACGGGAGGCAGCAGUAGGGAAUCUUCGGCAAUGGACGAAAGUCUGACCGAGCAACGCCGCGUGAGUGAAGAAGGUUUUCGGAUCGUAAAACUCUGUUGUUAGAGAAGAACAAGGAUGAGAGUAACUGUUCAUCCCUUGACGGUAUCUAACCAGAAAGCCACGGCUAACUACGUGCCAGCAGCCGCGGUAAUACGUAGGUGGCAAGCGUUGUCCGGAUUUAUUGGGCGUAAAGCGAGCGCAGGCGGUUUCUUAAGUCUGAUGUGAAAGCCCCCGGCUCAACCGGGGAGGGUCAUUGGAAACUGGGAGACUUGAGUGCAGAAGAGGAGAGUGGAAUUUCCAUGUGUAGCGGUGAAAUGCGUAGAUAUAUGGAGGAACACCAGUGGCGAAGGCGGCUCUCUGGUCUGUAACUGACGCUGAGGCUCGAAAGCGUGGGGAGCAAACAGGAUUAGAUACCCUGGUAGUCCACGCCGUAAACGAUGAGUGCUAAGUGUUGGAGGGUUUCCGCCCUUCAGUGCUGCAGCUAACGCAUUAAGCACUCCGCCUGGGGAGUACGACCGCAAGGUUGAAACUCAAAGGAAUUGACGGGGGCCCGCACAAGCGGUGGAGCAUGUGGUUUAAUUCGAAGCAACGCGAAGAACCUUACCAGGUCUUGACAUCCUUUGACCACUCUAGAGAUAGAGCUUCCCCUUCGGGGGCAAAGUGACAGGUGGUGCAUGGUUGUCGUCAGCUCGUGUCGUGAGAUGUUGGGUUAAGUCCCGCAACGAGCGCAACCCUUAUUGUUAGUUGCCAUCAUUCAGUUGGGCACUCUAGCAAGACUGCCGGUGACAAACCGGAGGAAGGUGGGGAUGACGUCAAAUCAUCAUGCCCCUUAUGACCUGGGCUACACACGUGCUACAAUGGGAAGUACAACGAGUCGCGAAGUCGCGAGGCUAAGCUAAUCUCUUAAAGCUUCUCUCAGUUCGGAUUGUAGGCUGCAACUCGCCUACAUGAAGCCGGAAUCGCUAGUAAUCGCGGAUCAGCACGCCGCGGUGAAUACGUUCCCGGGCCUUGUACACACCGCCCGUCACACCACGAGAGUUUGUAACACCCGAAGUCGGUGAGGUAACCUUUUGGAGCCAGCCGCCUAAGGUGGGAUAGAUGA
RNAcentral lists this ribosomal RNA (1395 nucleotides) under Enterococcus durans. Its description in RNAcentral is "16S ribosomal RNA". It matches the Rfam family "Bacterial small subunit ribosomal RNA". Lineage: Bacteria; Bacillati; Bacillota; Bacilli; Lactobacillales; Enterococcaceae. The record is from RNAcentral.